Small nucleolar RNA from Suncus etruscus (white-toothed pygmy shrew), 133 nucleotides. RefSeq annotates it as small nucleolar RNA SNORA51. The record is from RefSeq and is a predicted model, not a curated record. Lineage: Eukaryota; Metazoa; Chordata; Mammalia; Eulipotyphla; Soricidae. The transcript has a single exon.
GGCCUCCCAAUGCUUACCAUAGGCUGUGUUCUCUACACUGCCUGUAUAGAAACAGGAGGUACAGUAAAUGCACCCCAUGUACACCUCAACCCAGGCCCUCUGACUGGUCUGUAUUGUGAAUGGCGGGACACAA